This 1377-nucleotide ribosomal RNA is filed under the name Metanephrops sibogae (Siboga lobster). Its description in RNAcentral is "l-rRNA". The stretch from base 871 to 1269 matches the Rfam family "Bacterial large subunit ribosomal RNA", at positions 2049 to 2651 of the family's 2925-position model. The record is from RNAcentral. Lineage: Eukaryota; Metazoa; Arthropoda; Malacostraca; Decapoda; Nephropidae.
UUAUAAAACUUUGCUAAUGUUGAUUAGGAUUAAAAAUUUCAGAUAAGAAAAAUAUUUUUUUGUUAGGGAGAGAUAAGUAGAAAAUUAUGAUUCGAAAUUUAUUUUAUGGCUAAAGUUAAUAGUAUCGUGAGAGAAUAGUGAAAUAUUUGAAAAAUUAAUAGUAUAAAAGUAAAUAUAAAUUUUUGUACCUUGUGUAUUAGGGAGAACUAAAAUUAUGAAGAUAUAUUUUUUUAUCCCGAAAAAGGAAUAGCUAAUUUUAUAAAAAGGUUUUUGUAGCACAAAGAUCUUGAAUAUAAAUUUAGAGGUGAAAUGCCAUACGAGUCUUUUGAUAUCUGGUUUUUGAAGAAAUGAAUUGAAUUCAGUUUUAAUGGAAAGGUUACAUUAGAAAAAAAAAUAGGAGGGUCGAGCUUCUUGUUUAAUUAGGGGUUUAGUAUAGAAAAGUAUUGUUAUUAAUUGAACUAGGCUUAGAAGUAGUCAUGUAUAUAAAGUGUUUUAACUAAUCUUUAAGUUAUAUUUAUUUAUAUUUUUCUUACAGGAGUAUUUAAAAAUAUUAAGCAUUUUUGUAUUUGUAGAUAAAAUGGUUUUAUUAGUAGAAGUAUUUUAUAAAAUUGAAAAGUAAAAUAUUAAAUAAAAUAUAAAAAAAUUUUGGUUUAAUUUAAGGAAUUCGGCAAAUAAAGCUUCUGCCUGUUUAUCAAAAACAUGUCUGUAUGGGGAUUUAUAAAGUCUGGCCUGCCCACUGGGAUAAAACUAAAGGGCCGCGGUAUUCUAACCGUGCGAAGGUAGCAUAGUCAUUAGUCUUUUAAUUGGGGGCUUGUAUGAAGGGUUGAACAAGAGGCAAACUGUCUCAAAAAUAAGGUUUGAAAUUAACUUUUAAGUGAAAAGGCUUAAAUAUCUUAGAGGGACGAUAAGACCCUAUAAAGCUUGAUAAUUUUGUAUAUAAAUAAAUAAGUUGUUAGUAUUAUACUGUCUACAUAUAAAAUUAUUUCGUUGGGGCGACGAUAAUAUAAUCUGUAACUGUUUAGGUUUUAACUCAAAUAUAUUUGUGUUUAAUGAUCCAUUAAUUGUUGAUUAAAAAUUUAAGUUACUUUAGGGAUAACAGCGUUAUUUAUUUUGAGAGUUCAUAUCGAUAAAGAAGUUUGCGACCUCGAUGUUGAAUUAAAAUUUUUCCGUGGUGCAGUAGUUACGGAUAUAGGUCUGUUCGACCUUUAAAAUUUUACAUGAUUUGAGUUCAAACCGGCGUGAGCCAGGUUGGUUUCUAUCUUUUAAGGAAAAUGAAAUUAUUUUAGUACGAAAGGAUUGGGUAGUUAAAAUAAUUUUUAGUUGUAGAUUAAUUGUGUUACUUUGGCAGAGUGUUAUGUAUUAGAUUUAGGAUCUAAU